AACUAUGGAUUCGUCCUCCCAUCGUGAGAGAGCUUGUGGGAGCCAUGGGAGAUCGGACCGCGCUGCCGGGGAAGCGUGGAAGGCCAAAUUUGUUGCUCCGAUCGUCGUGAGUCCCCUCUUGAGUCUACCUCUGUUCAUUCUUUUCCGUUCGCGCCUAGAAUUACUCAACAAUAGUUGUUUUGCCGCCGGCAAUCGCUCGUCGGAGCAGAGCCUCCGCCACGGUGCGAUGACCUACGCGGGCACGGGACCCUAAGCCUCUAAUGCCGGCGUGUGCUCAGCUAGGUGAUUCGGGGUGCUCCAAGCAUUGUGUAGCAUCAUCGGAAUUAGGUAGUUGGGCGCUCGGGCGCUGGUUAGUAGUUCGCCGGCGGGCGCCCACCGCGCAUGGAUCUCGCGCCGCCGUCACAGUGGAAGGGAUUAGGGUGAGGGGCAUGCACGUUGGAUCGGACGCCUGCGGCUGCGAUUAGAUCUGGCGUACCGAUUCGGGCCAGGUAGAUCGGAGCGUUGGAAUUAGAUCGGAGGGCGCAGAAUCAAUCUCGGUAUGAAGCGUUGCGGUCCGUUGAUCGCAGAUCGUAGGGCUAGUGCUGCGUACCGGUUCAGGAUGAAUCUGGAUCUAAUCUGCACCGUCCACUUGUGAUCGUGCGGCCCAGAUCCAUAGAUACCCAUUCAGCCUCGACAAUUUUAUUAAAGAACCCCUGGGUUUAUUGAGAUUCAACCCGCAGUCCUAUUAGUGGAACUCUGAGUCUUAGUGUUAUUUGCGCAGUGAACCCUAGCUUUUGUUUAAAUCACGUGCGCAGACCAGAAGUCAGUAAAAAGGAAUAAAUGAUUAAGGAAAUUGAUUUUUAGUAUGAAAUUAAUUGCAGAAACUUGUAAAAUUCCUAGAAAAUUCAAAUUAAGUCCAAAUUAAUUCGUUCUAGUUUCUAUAAUUUUGUAAAAUUAUUGUUUAUCCAAUAGUGCCAUUGUUUUGACAUGAAAGUCACAUUAAAUAUUAUAUCCUAAUUAAUCUUGUAUCAAACACAUAAAAUCUUUGGAAAUUCAUAACUUAAAAUCUAUAACUCCAAAAUUAAUGAUUCUUGUUCCUAUGUAUUAUUUUAAUAUGUAGAUUAUUAAUAUGUAUUUUGUUUAUAUGUUUGGUGUGAUGUUAAUUUCUCCUUUAUACUAUGCUUGUUUGCAUUGUGGCGAGUAGAAAAGCCAGUGGCUGAGGAUCCCGGUGUUCAGCAGGUAGAAGUUGCUGAGCAGGAGCUCAUUGAAGGCUAGUUGUGCCCUUGACCAUUUUUUACCCAAUAAUGUUCUUUAAUAUCACUUAUUAAUGCAUAGGUUUAAUUUUGAUAGGACCCAAUAGGUCACCCUAGAUUGGUGUAACACCCUAAAAUUAUCAAUUGAAACUCAGUUUGAAUUAUUAAUUUCUAAUAUAAAGAAUAAAUAUUUACAUUUUCAAAUAAUGAUGGUGAUAAAAAUAAAUUUAACAAUUUCUUGAUUAGAUAUAAUUUUGCCAAUUGUUUGAUGCAUUCAUUAUCAGAGAAUAAAUUUUUCGUUUGUUUGUUAAUACAUUGCGAAGAUUUUAUUCUCAUUUACCAGGCCCAAUUAGAUUAGAAUUUUUGCCUAAAACUAUUUAUCCUUUUGGGCAUUUUUAUUUAUAAACUAUCAUUUCCAAAUCUAUUAUAAUAUAUAUAUAUAUUCAUGUACUAAAAAUAAUUAAAUAAAAAAAUAUAACACAUGCAUGUCAUACCAAAAAAAUUCUUGUAAUAAAAAAAGAGAAAACUCACACAACUCACGCACACACAGGCUAGUGCAUGCUCAGCGUACUUACCGGUCAUGAUCAGCCCGCGCUUCCUCUCCCCUUUCAUUGACGUGUGGGUCCCCUAGCAUAUACCUUCUUCCUCCCCGGUGUUUCUCUCAUAGUCAUAGGCAGGACCAGAAAAGCAAGCCGCUGCCGCCAGCCACCGCUACACGACGCGCACCCAGCUGAUGCUCGCUCAUGGCAGCGCGGUAGUAGCCCAACAGUAAGACGACGCGUUCACGACCGUCCUCUGCAGCGACGAUUCUCCUCCUACUGGCGGCAAUCGUUCCAGCGCCCUGCAUUUCUUGAGUCAUUCCUUCCGUCAUUAAUCGCCAUCACAGUUUCAGUUUCCUCAUUAAAUUCAAGAGAGCGUCAAUUGUCAUCAAAUCCGCUUUAAUCCAGCUAAUCUCCUCUCCUCCAGUCUCUAUAAAACCCAACAACCCCUUUCCCUCGCCAACAACAGAAAUAUCACUUCCUGUUCGUCUUCCCAUUACGCCAUCCUCUGCUAGUGCGAACCCAGUCGCGCGUCUACUUGCUUCGUUCAUCGGCGAUUGUUCCAAGAGGCACGCUCGCCCUUCUUCUCCAUUUCCGUGCCCUGGCGCCCACCGUCCAUACCUCCAUGCUGUCCCUGCGCCGUGUCAUCCUUCCUAGUACCAAGAUUUGGGUGUAGCUGCACCAUCGACUCCAGCUCGCCAGAGUUCGUUAUUGCUCGCCUCUACUCGCACCUCUCCACAAGUGCUCAGUCCCUACCGUGCUGAAGAUCGAUGACGAGCAACCAUCUUGCCAUCCUCGCUGUUCAUCAGCACUGCGUCUUGCUCGCACGCCACGCACUGCGUCCUCUGCCCUCGUGUCGAAGCCUUUCACACCGGAGUUCUUCAUGUCAUUGUUGUCGUGCUGCUCUCGCCUCUACCACCAUCGCACUCGGUUGCUGCUGUCGCACCUACACACUGCAUCGACGAGCCCCACCUCGACGUCCAUCCCGAAGUCUAGAGUGCCUCGCCGGUGAACUGCAGUCGAGCUGCUAGUUGUGCCGACGACUGCGUCGUCGACUCCCUCGCGCUGUGCGUUGCCACCCUGCCGCCAGAUGCAUCAUUCCCUUGCUGGUGUUGCUUCUCGCUCAGCUUGUCGUCUAUUGAAGGUAGAAGAUAUGACUUUCCUAUGAUCUAGCCUUUCAUGUUGUUUAGAUACAAAUAAAUGGAUUCUUGCAUUAUUUGCUACAUAAGUUCAUGUGGAAUAUUAGUGUUAGCAACAAUUUACAUAUUUUCGUAAUUUAAUUUAAAUUAUGGUUGCUUUGUAUAUAGUUUUCUAAAUAAGAAAUUAAAAAGAAUUAUACCUUUAUGUUUCUUGUAACCAAAAAUAUGAGAUUGUUAUUUAUAGUGUUAUCUAUACACAAAAAUGUAAAUAUACCGGCUACACCUAGUUUAGCUUUAUUUAUGUGUAGGUACUUGUUACAAUUUUUAUUAUAAAAUGUAAAUUUAGAACCCGACAAUUCACAUAUUUUCAUAGUUCAAUUUGAAUUAUGGUUGUUAUACAAGAAGUAUUAAAAUGGCCUUUUCAAUGAAUAUCAUGUUUUCAUGUUCAUUAUAGAUGUUUAAGUAUAGCCGUAUUAAAUAGAAACUUAAAAGAAUAUGUAGACAUAUAUUUCUUAAUAAAACUAGAAAAAUAAACAUAUGUCCAAUUAAUAAAGUAUUUACAAUUUCUUAAUUAAAAGAUAACAAGGGUCAUUGCUUUUAUAAACUAAAAUAAUAGUUUACUAGGUGGGUGCCCGUGCGAUGCCACGGAACAUAAAUUGCGAGCUUCUAACGGACUUAGAGCCCUGGCAGAGCUCUAGGUACAUGAUCGUGCGUUGCCACGAGACAAGAAAAAUGCCCGUGCAUCGUGAUAUAAUACCCGUGUAUUGUGACGACGACAUAAUUACUCACUUCAAGUGGCAUAGAGGAGCAUCUAGGGCUAAUGGAUCCAAACAAGUUGUUAUCCAAGCAAACAUUAUGCAAACAUAGGCAGCCAUUCCCCAAACUCACGCCAGGCAGAGAAUCAACUAACAUGCUCACAUAAUUUUUACAGUCACCAAAAACAAAAUCAUUUCAAAAAAAAUACAUUCAACAUGAACCCAACAAAAUCGCAAAAUCAUUGCCACGAGAGUUAAAAAUUAGUAUAAACCAUAGAUACGGAACGACAAAUAUCACUAUGAUAUACAAAAUCCGUGUGAUAAAAUAUUACUGUACCACUAAUAUCACUAUGAUAUAUAAAAUCCGUGUGAUACGGAACGACAUCUUUAAUUUUACGCUCUCAAAUUCCAAAUUAUUUUUUCGAAAGGACGGCAAGAGGAUUGCUGAAUAUAUUAAUAGAAGGAGAAAAACCAAAUACAGGGACUACUGGCCAGCAAGGGACCAACUACAGCCUAUUCAAGAAAAAAUUAGAUAUAUGAUCUCCUCAAACAUCGGGGAGGUCGCGUCCAUAUUCCUGACAUCGGCUUUGGGUAUUCCAGAAGGUCUCAUCCCAGUGCAACUACUAUGGGUCAAUCUAGUUACAGAUGGCCCUCCAGCGACUGCUUUGGGGUUCAACCCGCUAGAUAAAGAUAUCAUGAAGAAACCCUCCUCGAAGAAGUGAUGACUCGUUGAUCACUCCUUGGAUCUUGUUUCGCUAUAUGGUUAUUGGCCUUUAUGUUGGGGUUGCAACAGUGGGAAUCUUCAUCAUCUGGUACACGCAUGACAGCUUCAUGGGAAUUGACCUGGCUAGUGAUGGUCAUACACUUGUGUCGUACUCCCAGCUCUCAAACUGGGACCAGUGCUCCUCAUGGGAGGGCUUCAAGGUGUCGCCAUUCACCGCAGGAGCGAGGACAUUCAGCUUCGAUGCAAAUCCAUGCGAUUACUUCCAGGGUGGCAAGAUUAAAGCAACGACCCUCUCUCUGUCAGUCUUGGUGGCCAUUGAGAUGUUCAAGUUCCAAAUUAUCAAAGUGCACUUUCUUCAAAGCAACAAUCUUCAAGAUCACGGGCUCUGUAAACAUUACUAUAUGUACCCUGACCAAUAUGAAUAAACCAAAGAAUAAUUCUUGAAAACAAUUUCCAAGGCAAUAAAAUUUACAUGUGGCAAUCCUCACAGUGAGUUAUUUCCAUCGGAAGUACCCCUCAGGCCCUCACAACACUCGUGAACACAUAUGAGCACAUAAUCUCAAUAAUUCAGUCCAAACCAAAUUCUAGAAAUGGUUUGAAGUAUAUCAGCCAAAUAACAGUUCUCGUCUUUCACAGUUCAAUGUCUAGACUUUAAGUAUGAAUCCAGAACAGAGCAAACAGAACAAUACUAUUUGUUAUAUUGUCGCCUUAUUUCCAGAAAUUCAGCAAAAUCUUAGCAGAAAGGAAUCCUUUUGUAUCUCGAACUUCAAGUGCUUCCAGUACUGAAUUACUCUAGAAUGCCAAAUCUCCUGGAAACAAUAUUUCAAGGUCAAAUAGAUCGCCACCAGGAAGUUAUGUUUGCCCAUAUUGCAAAACGCUGAUGUUUCAUACUAAAUUACUAACUCACAUUGUCCUCUGAAAAAUUGUUCGAACUGAUUCCAAGCUGAAGCCUGUGUCUGAAGCUGAUAUUAAAUCUACUGUUGACAUUUCACCACAUGAGAAAACAGAAGACGUCGAAUACUACAUUACAUUUGAGGAUUAGGACAACGCCGGUGCAGAGUUAUUAGCUACAGUUAGGAUCAAAACAAGAGAAACGGCUGCUACGACAGAUCUUGCACCGAGUGAUUCCAGAGCUUUUUCCUCACGAUCAAGACUCUUUCGUCACCUGUCGUGAGCGCAUCUUUCUUAGGCCUCAUCUCAAACGUCCAGUCGUCCCACCUUAGCGCUGGUAAAAGUUUCUUGAUGUAGGUAACGACAUCAACUUUGUCUCUGAUGAUGGCAUAACCAUAAGUCCUUAGGAUGCGGUCCAUCUCGAUCAGAAGAUCCUCCAAGCUACAUCCCUGCUUCUCUAUCUCAGAAAACAGGAGCCAGGCAUGAAGGAGGUCGUAGGUGCCCGGGUAUGUCGAGAAUGAUUCACACCUUCAGUUAAACAGGUCAUAAAUAAGGAAAAUUAGCAUCAGCUAGCCCUGUGUAACGGGAAGUAAGGCAGACACAGACACACAGGACAAUGCACAAGAAAUUUCUUCAGUAGUGAAGAGGUUAGAAAUGAAAAGAAUGGUCUUAAAAACUGGAAAGAAGCAACAGAAUGGGGGCACCUAUAUCAGAUAUGUUGACAGGACUCAUUUUUUUUUGCGAGGACCCAUGUUUCUCGGUUUUGUUUAAUUAUAAUAACAAUAACAACGCAGUUAAUCUUAUAAUGGGCAGAAGUAUUGGCCUCAAGGCUCAAACACUACAUCCAUAUUCCAAAAUAUGACAGCCAAACUACAUCAAUUUCUGAAAACCAUGUUUACACGCGGUUGCAUCUUAGAAAUCAAACAAGAUAAUAUCACCCCCUUCCACACGAGUUAAGAAUUUUAUAUGGACAACCAUGAGAAAACAAUUUGUGAAAUUAUUUAUGGAUAAUUAAUUGCAGACUAUAGUCACAAUGAAACUCUUAUCUGUAUAGCACAAGACAAAACAAAUGUAAUAGUUCUAAUUUCUAGGGAUGCAAAUUCCACCUUGAAACAGUAAAAAAAAUAGAUGGGAAGUAUGUCAAAAAAAACCUUACCAGUCAUGGGUAGUCCCCAUUAAACCACGAUCAUAUAUAAUUUUUAGCUUUCCAGAUUCCGUGAAAGGAACUACAUUCAUAACCCAGACAUUCUUUUUCUUCAGAGAUGCUGCAAAUCCACCAAGGCUAGCACUCAUAUCCAUAACGUAUCGAAAGGAAUCCUUUUGUAUCUCGAACUUCAAGUGCUUCCAGUACUGAAUUACUCUAGAAUGCCAAAUCUCCUGCAAACAAUAUUUCAAGGUCAAAUAUAUCGCCACCAGGAAGUUAUGUUUGCCGAUAUUGCAAAACGCUGAUGUUUCAUACUAAAUUACUAACUCACAUUGUCCUCUGAAAAAUUGUUCGAACUGAUUCCAAGCUCUUCCAGGCGCGUAUGAAUCCAGAACAGAGCAAACAGAACAAUACUAUUUGUUAUAUUGUCGCCUUAUUUCCAGAAAUUCAGCAAAAUCGAGCGGUCUUUGCCGCUCUUAGCAGAAAUUAUUUACUAUUUGUAAUUAAACAACAUUUGCAGGGAAAAGACAAAAGUAAUACGAAAAGUAGUGGUCUAGAGUUUAAUUUCAUUUCUUGUAAAAGACCAAACUUAUAUCAGUACUCGACCACAUGAAACCACAACGUAGACCAUCACAAGAACAUGGAACAGUGAAAAAAACCUGACCAUCAGAGCGGAACCUGGUACACUACAAAUGUAGGAUCUUAAUACCAUAGAUGUGGUGCUUCUACCUCUCAAAUGGAAAUGCAUGUGUGUUAGUGGAUUUGAACAUAUAUGCACUGAAUAGUUUAGAUAUGGCCAGUAGGCACAUCAUAAAACAUGUUGAUCUUGCUUGCCUAGUAGAAGAGCAAGGAAAAACACUUCACAAUAACAAUGUAUACUACCUCCAUUUUUAUUUAUUUGACGCCACUUUAUUCAAUUUUGUACUAACCGGCAACAAAUAACAAUGAAUGGUGGGAGUACCUAUAUAAGCAAUUAUAUCAUGUUUAAUGAUAGACCCAACAAUUGCAUUUGACAUUACUCUUACCCAUAACCUGUACAAUUACACACCUUUUCUUCUCUGUCGUCAAACCUUUGUGUAAGCCUUGAAACGCUUCAUUCUUUAGCAGAGAAUAUUUCAAAUGAUAAAUUUUCCCUGUUACAAGAUCAAGUCAUCUUCCAGCCACCCUUUCAACAAGGAGUUAAUCUGGAACCUAUAACAAUAAAGAAUGGAUUAAAUGCACAAAUUCUACAUUCAUGAAAUCUAGAAAAGGUGAAUAAAUUGUUAUUCACAGUGAUGCUCUUUACUGAUUCUUGGCAGACAAAUAGGGCAUCACUGUGAAUAAUUGUUCAGAUUCAUUUAUUCAGAAAAAAACUAAAAAAGAAUAUAUGCAAGUCAUAUGCCAUACAAGUUACUAAGAUAUGUGAUUGUCCCAACCACUACACCCUGAAUGGCUGAAUCAAACCAGCACAAGUAUGAACUAUUAACAUUUAGGUGCAUAAAAACAAAUUGGUAAUUUUUUAGCAUCACAAAGGUAUUCGGAUGAAUCUUUCCAUUAGGACGGCAACAAACCAGCAGACGAAUUAGCUGGUCAUGGAGUGCCGGCAUUGGCUCCAAUCACCUGGUGCUUUGCUAGAGACCAGAGGCUUCGCUGGUUGGACCACUUCCACUCACACUCACAUCUGAGUUGGUUGCAAUAGGAGCACCUGCUAUGGUUGGGGCCCUCCAUUCUGUCGGACCCGCUUCAGAAGGAAGGCCACAACUAACAUGAAGGUUGAGUCAGAUAAGAAAUCUCUACUGUGGGACUGGUUACCGGUGGCAUGAUGGAAUCCUAUGGCUCUUUGUCAUCCCUGUGCUCCCGGAAGACCUUUCAUGGUGGCGUGGGAGGUGAGGUACCUGAAUGGAGAGGGCAGCCACGACAACACGAUGGAGGUGGCUAUGGAGCUGGCGCUCCUCGAACACGUUCCGCGUGGCGCGGCGCGGCGCGUGUGAUCUCCCUCGCGCUGGACCCCCACAGGGACACCUGCAGAAGCGGAAAAACAAUAGAAAGAUAGAGAGCGAGGGAGGGAGCUACGGAGGGCAAGAUGAAGGAGCCGGGGACUGUCACACACACAAAAAGAUUCUCACCCAACAUGCAGAGCUUCACACGAGUGGCCUUAUCCGCGACACCCCAUGUCUCGAGGGCCCCAUCCCCGAUGAUCCGCUCGGCUGCCGCCUCGAGCAGCAACAGCCCAAUCGUGCCCCACUCAUUGACGAUGCCCCCAUACCCGUACAAAUCGUCCUCUUCGCAAGAGGCGUCGUGGCGCUGGUGACUGGGAGGCCACAUAGGGGGCGAUGAAUGUUGCAUGGAAGAAGUCGCAUGGAGUAAUCGGGGAGUCAGAGUCAAGCAUCAGAGGAGGAGCCGCGGCGGUGGGUGCAUGUGACGAUAGAUAACCGCAGUGUGCCCGCUGCACGAAAUCGCAAAAUCGUGAGGUUGUUACUUUGUUAGAGGGGUAGGGUGAGACUCUAGUCCAGGACGGGAUCGAGGCGGCGGCGGCGGCGAGGAGGAGGAAGAGGAGCUGGAUGGAUACCUGCGGGGGGCGGGACGGUCGCCCCCGAAGUCGGAGGAGUCGGCCCUCACCCAGUGCAUCUGCUUCGGUUGCAGCUGCUGCAUCCUUUCCCUCGUCUCCUUGUCCUCGCUCCAACUCCCCAGUCUACGCGCCUCUCUUCGUGAAGGAACUGGACACGGCUGCGACCGGGAGGAUGAGCCCUGUACCGGCGGCUGGAUGGCGGCCGGGGGCGGCGAGCGGUGGACGGCGGGGAGUCUGGCAGGUGGGGGAGAGGGGAUCGAAUGAAGCAGAGAAGUCAGAGCAGGAGGAUGGAAACAGUAGCGCCCCACGGUCAGCCCAAACGAAACGACCACGACCGGAGACACACGCGCGACCUCGCCCACCCUGCCUCCCACGAUGGGCGCCAUCAGCGGCGAGAUGGAUGGGAGCGCGGGGUCGCCGCGGGAUGCAGGGAAGGAAGUCGGCGCGGUUGAGGGCGGGAUGCAGGGAAGACGGCGCGGGCGGGGGCGGGAUUGCAGGAAGGAAGACAGCGUGGGCGGGGGCUGGAACGGGGGCACGGUCAGGUUGGUGGACGCCCUUGCUCCAGCCUUAAGGUGUAGUAGAGAUACAUAACUUCCUUCUAAUGAAUUAGAUAAUUUGUUCCUACCAUAGAAUUAAAGAUAAUUAAUAGGUUAAUUAUCCUUUAUCAUAAUGUAUUAAUCAAACCUAUAGUCAAUUUGUUCUUAAUUAGAUUUAUGGCGUGAUUAAUGAUUUCAUAAAAUUUAGUCCACAUUAUAUACGAAUCACUUAGCUUUUCCUAAAGGAUAAAAUAAAGUAAUAAGAGUUUAAGUUCUUUUAUAACUUAAAAUGUUACUUUAUAUAUGAACUUCAAACAUAAUAAUAUAGGCUAUGUGUUUUCUAAUGAAAAUAAAAUAUAAUUGUUUGUUCAUUGUCUUUUACAUAAAAGUUCAUUUAAGGCAUAUAUCAUAACUUUUCAUAAAAUAGGUGUUUAAUAAUAAUGAUCUUUUCACAUAAAACCUAUUUAGACUUGUAUCUUAGUUUAUCAUAAGUGAAUGUUUAACAAUGAUUUAUAAGAUGUUCCAUAAUGCUUCUAAAAUUAAUAACGUGUUUCGUAGCCCAUUAACCUUAGAUAUAUAACAUAUAUCUUUUCUAAAAGGUUAAAAAGGUUUAAUAUUGUUAUAACGUGUUUUAUCAUCUUAUAAACCCUUAAUAUUAGACAUAUCACGUAUGACGUUUUAUAAAAGAUUAAUUUGUUGAACCUAAUAUUUGUAUAUUUUAAUUAAGAUAUUUUUAAGCUCAUGUCUUGUUUUAUAAAGUAUAGAUCACACAUUUUUAAAAAGAAUACCUAAUUAUAACCAUUACUUGCGAUGUUUUUGAAAAGCGAACACUCUUUUCGUUAGGAUUUCUUUUAGCUUUACGUAUGGUGAAUGUUGUAUGUUAUUGAGUGGUGUUUGUUCUUCUUGUUUGUUUGUGUGAUAUUCAGUGGUUGAUCUAGUAGUUAAGAAUCAAGAUCUAUUCCUAUCCGUGGAAGAACCUCAAGUUUUCAAUAAGCAAGGCAAGUGGACUUCUCCCUCUGCAUAUUCUAUUUGAUCCCAAACAAUACAUUUAAUAAAGUUUAUUCUUGGAUAUAUAUGCAUAAUUUGAUGGGUUACCUAUUCAGAUACACCUAACCUUUCCAACCUUAUUCCUUGUUUAACCUGGGUUAUGAUUUAAUCUAGUAGCUAUGCUAUUGCUACAACUUUAACUAUAUGAUGUUACUCCUAAUGAUGAUAUAAAUGUUCCAAAUGGUAAGUUACAUUAUUGUUAUUAAUCCGAUGAUUAAGCAAGAUCAUACUGUGAUAAUUGGAACAUGGAGUGACCACCAGGGAAAAUAGUGCAAUUACGAAUUCUAUCAUGGCUCUGGCUUUGGUAAUUAGCUUUAUAUGCUUAGUGCCUAGCAACCUUACCUGAAAUAUGGGCAAGAGGGGGGAGCGGUGGUGGUGGCAGCCCACAUUAACAUGGGGACGUAUUCUUGGCUAAGGUACCUCACCCAGGGGGCCUCCUGUAACACCCCACUGGUCCCACACAUUGGAUGUUACCAAAUACCCUUCCCACUAAACUUAUGCAACACAAGAAAUGGAAUAGAUAGAGAAAGUAUUGCAAAAUCUGGCAGCACCUCCCUUGAAAGAAGCAUAACAGGGGGGGAACAUGGAGUUCAUACAGGAUAUAAAAGACAGAUAAUUCACGUAGUAGAAUCUAAAUGCAAAAGUGGUGAAACACGUUCAUGACCAAAUAAAAGGAUAGGUAACUCAGCCCACCCCAAAAAUAGCUCAACCACCAUGAAAAGCUAGAACAUAUUAAUUCCCUAGACUUGACCCUCCCUGAUUAACAACAUUAUUAAGCAGUGGUUCCUUUAUUAAAGGUGUAGUGGCCGUGCUGCUACAUCCCUCUUUUCCCAAAGCAGAAAUCAGGUGCCUGCAUUAAACAAUGCAAGAGUGAGAUGACACAUCUCAGCAAGUAAACAGAGCAAACCACAAUUGGACAAUGUAAACCAACUGUGCUUAAACAACCACGUAGUUCAAAACUUCCUUCUUGAAUAAUAAUUUGCAGCAAGUAAGAAAGUAACUAAUUACUUAACACCAAGAAGAGUCACAAUGUAAAAAUCCACACUAUCCACAUCCACAUAAUAAAUUCCACACCUCUCCCAUGAAUGCACAGGGCUACAGAUGCAGUAAUGACUUCUGUCUUCAUAUCUCCGAGGAUAUGAAGCUGCAUCAUACCCCUUCUCGGGCAACAUAUGAUGCUCAAUGUACGGUCGGACCAUAAGAUCACGACGAACUUCCUUGCAAUGAAUAAUGAAUGCAUUAUGCAUGACAACAACAUGAGUUCUUCCCAAAUAAAAUGUGCUAGACAUAUACUUCCACCCAUUCCACAUAAUAACCACUUGAGUAACAUGAUCAAACCACAAACUCAACAUAUGUAAUCAAUAAAACACGAAUAUCUUCAAAUGAUGGUACUCAAUUAAAAAUAUGAAUACGAACACAAUAGCACAACAUAAUCAAGUAUAAGACUCUUCAUUCGACAGACGGAAUAACCAUCACUGUUUUACUUGCCUUCACCGAAAGUUUGGGCAAAUCCCUAAGUAGAUCCGAGCGGUGGUGGAGAUUUGCACCACGCGACGUAGAUCCAAGCGGCAGGGAAUGGCACCUUGGGAGGAGGAGAUGGGGGGGCGGCUAGGGUUAGGUGGUGUGACUGCAAGGGUUUGAGGGAGGAGGAGAUGGGAGGGGUAGGAGGCGGCCAAAGGUUAGGGGAAUGGGGGGGCGGGCGGCUGCACAAAGGAAGGGGGGGGGUUAGGGGGAGGGCGGCUAGGGUUAGGGGAGGUUAGUGGGCCGAAUCAAGAUUCACGGCCCAACUCGCCCACGCAACAGCUCCCGCCCCUGUUGCAAGCGCCUAACCAAAGGAAUUCUAGUGCCCUACUGGUGAAUGUUUUCCACAAAUUCCAAAUCCCCAAAAUGCAUCAACCGAAUGAGAAAAAACAAAAAAAAGAAUAACCUCCAACUUCUCUUCUUUGCAAACCGGGUAUCACACUCUACCCCCCUUAAAAAGAAUUCGACCUCGAAUUCUGACGCUUCUAUCGGAACGACAAAAGGAAAGAUUAAAGAAUCAACAACACUUACCCACAACGAAAAGUUCCGGAUACUUCUGCCGCAUCAGGUCCUCAAGUUCCCACGUAGCCUCGCGCUCAGACUGAUUAGUCCAUAAGACCUUGACAUACUUAAUUGAUCUCUUCCUCAAUACACGCUCCGAGAAUUCCAAUAUACGCACCGGACGACACUCCAAAGUCAGAUCCUGCUGCACAGCAAUUGGUUCCAUCUCAAUCUGAUGGUCCGGAUCCCGCAAGAACUUCCUCAACAUAGAGACAUGAAAAACCGGGUGUACCCCUGCCAUGGAAUCCGGCAGCAGCAAGCAAUAAGCUAGGCUACCCACUCGGGUCAAGAUAGUGAACGUUCCAAUGUACCUCGAGCUGAGCUUUCCAGAGACACCGAACCGAACAACUCCUUUAGUAGGUGAUACCCUGAGAAGGACUUGGUCACCCACUGCAAAUUCCAAAUCCCGCCUCCUCACAUCAGCAUAACUCUUCUGACGGCUCUGAGCUACCAAAAUAUUCUGACGAAUUUCCCGAACCUUUUUAGAAGUCUGCUGAACCCAAUCAGGACCAACCAGGGAUCUCUCUCCCAAAGUCUCCCAGUAGAGAGGGGAGAUACACCGCCUACCGUACAAAGCCUCAAACGGUGCCAUCUUGAUGCUAGCCUGGUAGCUGUUGUUAUAAGCAAACUCUGCCAAUGCAAGAUGAUCCUCCCAGCUACCCUUCCAUGAUAGAACACAAGCGCGCAACAUAUCUUCCGAGGUUUGGAUCGUUUGCUCUGACUGACCAUCAGUCUGAGGGUGAAAAGUGACACUAAGUGAAAGCUUGGUGCCCAAUGCACUAUGAAGACUCUCCCAGAAUUUGGAUACAAAUUUGGAGUCUCGAUCAAAAACAAUGGACUUAGGUACCCCGUGAAGCCUGACUACUUCCUUCAUAUACAAGGGAACCAAAUCUGAAGCUGAAUUUGUGGUCUUCAUGGGAAUAAAAUGUGCAGACUUAGUCAAGCGAUCCACUACCAUCCAUAUAGCAUCCCUGCCCCGAGGGGAACGAGGUAGACCCACCACAAAAUCCAUGGUGAUAUGCUCUCAUUUCCACUCUGGAAUUUCUAAUGGCUUCAGUAAACCUGCAGGCCGCUUAUGCUCGGCCUUCACGCGUUGACAUACUUCACAGGCGGCCACAUACUUAGAAACGUCAACCUUCAUCCGCUUCCACCAGAAGUUUUGCUUCAAAUCUCGGUACAUUUUGGUUUUGCCAGGGUCAACGGUGUAAGUUGUUUUAUGAGCUUCUCUCAAGAUAUCCAUCUUCACCUCUGAUUUCUGAGGCACACAAAGACGGCCCCUGAAACGAACCAAAUCAUUCUCAUCAAUGGUGAACUCCCGUGGUUUACCAUCACCAACCCUCUUUCGAGCUUCCUGCAAUAGACGAUCCUGCUGCUGAGCUGCACACACUCUCUCCAUGAGGGAGGAUUGAAUAAGCAUCCGAGUCUCCUCGCUAGCGGUGCCGACAUAACACAAAGCGAUCCCCAAAUGGUCCAGAUCAGCGAUCAACAGCAAGGCCACUUUUGGAACCCCGAACCUGCUAAGGGCAUCAGCCACUACAUUAGUCUUCCCCGGGUGAUAAUGAAUGGACAAAUCAUAAUCUUUAAUCAAUUCAAGCCACCGACGCUGCCUCAAAUUCAGCUCCUUCUGAGUAAAAAUAUACUUGAGACUUUUAUGAUCGGUGUAAAUGUCACAAGCCUCGCCAUAAAGAUAAUGCCUCCACGACUUUAGAGCAAAAACCACCGCGGCCAAUUCAAGAUCAUGAGUUGGGUAAUUCCCCUCAUGCUUCCUCAACUGCCUUGAGCCAUAAGCAAUCACUCUGCCUUCCUGCAUCAACACACAACCAAGACCAAUAUGUGAAGCAUCCGUAUAAAACUGUGAAACGCUUAUCGCUCUCAGGCAAAGCUAGGAUAGGGGCAUCCACCAACUUGCUCUUCAAUGUCUGAUAACUGACCUCGCAAUCGCCAGACCAGAUGAAGGGAACACCCUUCUCCAAGAGUCUAGUCAGAGGCUUAGCAAUGCUGGAAAAAUUUGGUAUGAAGCGCCGAUAAUAUCCAGCGAGCCCCACGAAACUUCGGAUUUCAGAGACACUAGAGGGUCUCUUCCACUCCACCACAGCCGCAACAUUCUUGGGAUCAACCGCAAUGCCCUGUUGAUUAAUCACGUGCCCCAGGAAAGCCACUUCGGACAGCCAAAAGCCACACUUCUUCAACUUGCCAUAGAACUGAUUCUUCCUUAGGGCACCCAGAACGAGACGGAGAUGCUGCUCAUGCUCGACCUUGGUCUUUCAAUAAAUCAGAAUAUCAUCCAGGAACAUGACCACAAAGUCGUCCAGGAAUUCAUGCAACAUCCUAUUCAUUGCUUCCAUAAAAGCAGCAGGGGCAUUAGUUAAGCCAAAAGACAUGACUAUGAACUCAUAAUGCCCAUACCUGGUGCAAAAAGCAGUCUUCUCAAUAUCCUUCUCACGAGUUCAAAUCAAUUUUGGAGAACACCCGGGCACCCCUCAACUAUUCAAAGAGGACCUCAAUACGGGGAAGAAGAUAUUUAUUCUUGAUUGUCACUUGAUUCAAAGCGCGAUAAUCCACACACAACCGCUUGCUUUUAUUCUUCUUCUCAACAAACAAUACUGGGGAAGCCCAUGGAGACCUGCUAGGCCUAAUGAAACGCUUAGCUAGCAGAUCAUCCAAUUGCUGCUUCAAUUCAACCUGCUCCUUUGGGGCCAUUGGAUACGGGGCCUUAUGAAUAGGCUGCGUACCCGGAAUCAGCUUAAUCUCAAAAGCUGCAUCGUGCUCCGGAGGAAUGCCUGGAAGCUCUGCCGGAAACACGUCAGCAAAGUCACACACCACCCAGAUGUCCUGCACCCGCAAGGCAGCCUCACCCUCCACCACCAUGGAGAAAAAGAUCCCCGACUUCCUUGAUCGGUGAUCUGGAAGCAAUUGUGCCAACAAGGAUAACGUGAACUUUGGGGAACUUCCCAAGAAUACCACCUCCUUACCCGACGGCGCCUGCAAUAACACUGUCUUGCAAAAACAGGAUAUAACUGCGUGAUACUGGGAUAACCAAUCCAUACCCAAGAUAACAUCGAAUGCCCCCAAGGAAAUCACCGCCAGAUUGGCCGAAAAGACCUCAUCAGCAAGAAUGACGGAACACCCCUAACAAACUGAACAGCUACUAAUGGAGCCAUUAGCAGAACUAACCAAAAUUGGGUGACCCAACCUCUGCACCGAAAGACUAGCCCGCGACACAAAAUCCUCCGAAACAAACGAAUAGCUAGCGCCAGAGUCAAAAAGAGCAUGCGCCGCAAACGAAUCAACUGAAAUCGUACCUGUCACCACGUCUCCUUGCUCUCUGCCAUCCGCAGCGGGUAGCACAUAAGCUCCAGAAAUACCCACAGAAGAGGAAGCUCCCGGAGUGAAAUUAACAGAAGAACCCCACUGAGCCGCCGGGUGAGGCAGACACGGAGCUCCAAACUGAGACGACAUAGGAGUAGACGGUGCAGGAGUAGGUGCGGCCAGAUACUGAGGAAAACCCUGCAUCGGCAUGAACUGAGAAGUCCCAGGCACAUAAAGCUGCUGUGAAGGAAGAGGAACUGAAAACUGCUGCUCAGCACUUGACAUCAUGUUGAUAGUGCCCUGAGAAGAGGAGGAAGUCACCGGCUCCCAUCUGAGCUUCCCAUUAGGAUUCCUCCUACACACCGCAUCCUUAUGGUCCUAACUUCAGAUAGAAUACCUGCCACUCCACUGGCACUCUGCACGGCGAUGCGCAUCACCACAGCGGAAACACACCAGCCCCAGCCUGGGCUUAGGAACAGCCCGAAACCUCUGAGUACUUCCUCCCGAAGUACCCGAGUCAGAAGAUUUGCCACGGUAAGGAUGGUGGCGCUGAUGCUGCGACUUGCCCCUCUUGUGGGCUGGACCUCCCGUGUUGCCCCUCCUCGCGUCCUGGCCACGAGGCUAAUGAACACCCGAAGACUUCUGCGACUCCAUGGUAUACUGGUGUUGCAUCUCCACACCCAGUGCCUACUCCACCGUAGUACGGAAGUCCACCAACAGAAAGGCUCCUAGUGCAUGCCUGAUAGAAGGCUUCAGACCCUGACGGAACUGGCUCGCCUUCUCCAUCUCAUUAUAAGCCACAUGAGGGACAAAGCGGACCAUCUUGUUGAAGCCCACCUCAUACUCUGUGACAUACUUCUUCUCCUGUUUGUAGGACUGCAAGUCAAUCUUCAUUUUAUCCAGGAAGGUGACCAGGUAGAAUCUCCUUUCAAACUGCUUGAUGAAGACAUCCCAAGAUAGGACUCCUGGUGAUGAGGAGUGCGCUGCCUACACGCCUCUCUACCAAAUUUGAGCCUGUCCCUUUUAGCAGCUGUGUGCCAAAGCGAACCCGAUCUCCAUACACAAUCUCGAAGACAUUCAUCUUAUCCUCCACGUAAGUCAGCCAAUCUGCUGCCUCCACCGGAGUACCACUGCCAUCAAAAGAAUCCAUCUUCAUGCCCAUCCACUGCAUCAAAGAAAGACCACUGACUGGAAGAGGCACCUCAGCCCCGCCACCUGGAGCAGCACCCGCAGGGACAGCGCCCCCGGGCACUCCUCCACCACCAGCACCCUGAGCAGCACCCGCAGGGGCAACAGGAAUAGCUUGCCUCAGAAUGGCCAACUCCUGCUGCAUGGCCUGCAUCUUGGCUAACAUUGCCGCCGGACUCAUCGAGUCCCCACUAGGAACUUGCGGACUACCCCGAGCCCUAUGAGGCGGCAUAGCUGCAGACACAGGGGUGAGAAUAAUAAGUAAAUAAGAUUGGCAUAACAUUUAUUCAGAUAAUGUCAAACUAGCACAGACAAUAACAUAACAUAUCAAUAGUAAAGCAGAAAUCCCAUCCUACAUGUGCAGUGUGUCAAUUUAUUAUUACUCCACUUGCUAGGACCUACAGCCUAUGCCUCUGAUACCAACUAUAACACCCCCACUGGUCCCACACAUUGGAUGUUACCAAAUACCCUUCCCACUAAACUUAUGCAACACAAGAAAUGGAAUAGAAAGAGAAAGUAUUGCAAAAUUCGACAGCACCUCCCUUGAAAGAAGCAUAACAGGGGGGAAACAUGAAGUUCAUACAGGAUAUAAAAGACAGAUAAUUCACGUAGUAGAAUCUAAAUGCAAAAGUGCUGAAACACAUUCAUGACCAAAUAAAAGGAUAGGUAACUCAGCCCACCCCAAAAACAGUUCAACCACCAUGAAAAGCUAGAACAUAUUAAUUCCCUAGACUUGACCCUCCCUGAUUAACAACAUUAUUAAGCAGUGGUUCCUUUAUUAAAGGUGUAGUGGCCAUGCUGCUACAUCCCUCUUUUACCAAAGCAGAAAUCAGGUGCCUGCAUUAAACAAUGCAAGAGUGAGAUGACACAUCUCAGCAAGUAAACAGAGCAAACCACAAUUGGGCAAUGUAAACCAACUGUGCUUAAACAACCACAUAGUUCAAAACUUCCUUCUUGAAUAAUAAUUUGCAGCAAGUAAGCAAGUAACUAAUUACUUAACGCCAAGAAGAAUGACAAUGUAAAAAUCCACACUAUCCACAUCCACAUAAUAAAUUCCACACCUCUCUCAUGAGUGCACAUGGCUACAGAUGCAGUAAUGACUUCUGCCUUCAUUUCUCCGAGGAUAUGAAGCUGCAUCACACCCACCACAGGAGAAGAACAGGUGGUUCAGGAGGAGCAACACAACGAGGAGUUCGACUUGAUCUAGGUGGCGUCUCCUAGUUGACUUUAUGGCGCCAAGGAUGGACUUUAGUUCGUUUUAUAUUUAUCUUUUAUUGUGUAAGACUUCCGCUAUGUAAUAAGUACUAUGAUGUUAUUGUGAUAUUUAUCUCUAUACACUCUGUUAUUGUAACGCCCCAAUCCUCUGGGACUAAAAUGUGAUACAAUUACUAGUCCCAGGAGGCUAGUAAACACAUUUAUACAACAGAUGAUUCUAGAUCUGCUUAAACGAGACAAACCUAUAAAGGUGGUGAUCAACUUUAAGAGUUGGUCCACAACUCAGGACAUAUCAUCAGAGUGGGGCUGAAGCAGCCCGAUAUACGCAGCGAAGCAAAUCAGCGGUACAACAUCCACAGGCAAGGUUGGGAACAGUCGUAACUCUUACCCGAUCUCCUUUUUCUGAAAAACAACAAAUAAGCAAGGGUGAGUACAAAUGUACUCAGUAGCCCACCUUCACCCACGGAAUGGGGAAAUCAGAUAUAAUGCAUGGAAUAUGUGGAGCUCAGGAUAUUUUGCAGAAAUAGCAAUACUUUAUGUAGGGUUGUUUUGUAAAACAUUUUGUUUUUUUCAAAGCGCAUCCUCUCCUAAAGGAGCAGGAAGUUUUUUCAAUAUAGAACAAAAUCCCCUGGACUAAACCAUCUAGGUAUCUCACCAGUUUCCAACUGGUUUUCAUUUUCAAAAACAACUACUGGACUUCCCGUCCACCAUAGCUCACGGCUCAACCGCGGACCUUUUUAAAACCACUUUUCUCGAACGCACCCCUUUUUUUGAAAACAAAACACUAAUUGCCAUACCAUACCAGACUCGUCCAUUCCUGUGGACACAGACUAUUCGAAUAGGUUUGAACUUUGCGCAGAGGGGUACACUUUACCCACUAGUCCGGCUCUACGAUCUCAUGGCCAAUGAGAGCCGAAUCUAAAUCUCUUUCUUUCCUUGCACGUCCUUACCUUAAUGGUUAUACCGGAAGGAGUCAGGCCACCGCCAUGUCCAAACCGGACAAAACAUCCCCCUCCUUAUUCUCCCGGUGCUCCCCAACCAUCAUAACCCUGGGGUUUGUACCGUACGAGUUCAGAUUAAGUGACUGCCCAUACAGUCUCGAGUGGUUGUACUUGUCAUGAGUACAGGUAGUGAAGGAUGACAAACCGAUCCUUAUAUGAGAGGACAAUCCUUCUGCUCACACCUAACCCGGCUGAGCCAUCACGUUAGGCCCUCCCCUAAACCAGGGAGUCCCUGAUCAUCCCUACUCAAAGGUGAUAAGGGUGAAAACCCUUCAUCAUACCCAUUUUGAAAAGCAUUUUCUUUUGAAAACUCACACCUUUUCUCAAAUCAUUUGUAGCAAAUAUAUCAAGGAUUGAUUGCGGCAAGCGGCUGGGUGGCCAUAAUAACUUGUCUCAAAAUCAUAUCAUGCAUAAAAUAACAGGCUGAGGGUUGUGGUUGAAAAAUCAUAGGUAAUUUAUGCAUCAAAGGGAUCCAGUGAGCUUGUCGUGCUUAUCCGGCGAAGGGGGAAGGGGAGCUCGCGGAACUGGCUUCUAACUCCACUGCCUGGUGUAGACUUGCAGAUCUGGCCUCCACGAGACGGCACAAACGCUCCGAUAACUAUGCAACAUGAAUAAGCAAACAUACAAACCAGCAAGUAUAUCAACAGAUAUUUAGUAUAGUGGUCAGAAUAGCGAUAUAUGGAUGGGUAGAGUCUUGAGUAGAAUAUGUGUCAUGUGGUGUUGAGAUACUACUAGUGGUGGAGCGGAGGUUCUUACCAGGAGGGUGGACUGGAGGCGAAGCGAUACUAUGCGUGUAGCCGGCAGAGCGAAGUAACUGAGUGGGUGGGGUGUUUGCCUUGGCUGAGGGUGUUGAGUGUGUGUGGAGAGGGAGAGGGUAGCUGGGUGUAUUUAUAGCUGGGUGUAUGUGGUGUAGCACAGUGAAGUUCACUGUUGGUGAGAAUAGUAACGAAUGAAUCGUCUGACUUAGUAUGAACAGGAGAGUUAUAGGCAGAAUAUGGGACAAGAGUAUUUUGGCAGUUUUCUGGAACAUGAACCAUGCUUAAGGGAUGACAUGGUUGGAUAGGAAAUAGUUUGAUAAAAAUUUAUAAACAAGAAUUAUUGGAAUCUGAGUUUGGAAUCCUGGUUCAAAGGAAUCUCAAAGUUAAGCGUGCUCAACAUGGACAAACCUGGGAUGGGUGACCAGAUGGGAAGUUGCCACUGGAAGGAAAAUCACAGUCACCGAAGUUCGUAUGACUGGAAUAUGGGUCUGGCAGGUCUUAGGUGGACUGGACAGCAUGAUGGAUGAGUAGUUGAAAUUUGGGGGGAUUGGAUGAUUGAGAAUAGUAACAAUGAAUAGUAACGACGAAAAAGUAAUCAUAGAUAUCGACGAUAAAUAGUAAUGAUGAUGAACAGUGUUAGUGAAUAGUACCAAUGAUGAAUAGUAACAAUGAAUAGUAAUGGUGACUAGUGAUGGUGAAUAGGCGUAUGAACGAACGAUGAACAAUGAAUAGUGACUAUGAACGAACGAUCAACGAUGAAUAGGAACUAUGAACAAACGGACGAACGAACGAUUGGAAUUGCGGCAGCAUAACGGCAGGACAAAGAUUAUCUGGACGAACGAUGAAUAGGGACUAUGAACAAACGAUGAACGAUGAAUAGGAACUAUGAACGAACGAUGAACGACCGAAUGAUCGAACGAACGACCGAACGAUCGGAAUUUCGGCAGCAUAACGGCUGAACAAAGAUUAUUUGGACGAACAAACGGACGGACGAACCAUGAACGAUCGGAUGAACGAUCGAACGAUCGGACGAACGAACGAACAAAUUAAAAACAGGUGGACGAACAAUCGAAGAAUGACCGAACAAUCCUUGUGCUAGUGUGUGCUUGUGUGGGAGGUGGAGUGGGCGUGUGGGGGGGAGAGAGUUGCCAUGAAAUGGCUUGGGGUGGCUUGAGAGGAGGCCCUUGCCCCUCUAUUUACAGCCAUGGUGGGGGAUUAGGGGGAGGGAUGAGAGGAUUAGUGGGAGAUUGGCAUGUAUUUGUCUUGUAUAAGCAUAAUUAGCAUGUAGAGAUCACCGUAUGACACCGGAGGCAUACAUAUACGUAUGAGCAUGAGGAAAGUUAUGAAGAAAAUAUUUGUAGGGACUUCAAAAAUGAUUCUGAAGGUAUUUCUUAGGAGGAAAAUAGUUGGAGAGUUAUCGGUGGAAUAUCUAGGCAAAUUUCUGGAAAGAACUUGAGGGGGAUUACUGGGGAAAUACUUGUAGGAUAUUUUGAGGAGGAUUUUGGAGAGAAUAUAGACCACUAUAUUUUAUUUGUUGAUAUCAACUCGCAAACAAACAUUUUGAAACGAAAUUUAAAAUUCAUUUUGAAUUUAGAGCGAGUUUGAGAAAAUUUCAAGAUUUGAAUUUUUGGGAUGCUACAGUUAUUAUAUGUUGUCUUCUUUGGCGCAUAUAUGAGAUGCACCCGACUUUGUCCCUUAAAUCCGGGUGUGACAAAAGUGGUAUCAGAGGAAAUGUUGACUGUUGGACGAAACCUAGAUAGAAAUGGACAAAACCCUUACCUACUUACCUUACUCUGAUUCUUUCUAUACUUAUCUUGAUCAUGUCUCACCUUUUGUUGUUCUACUCUGAUUACUCUUAUCUUUUCUACUGUAAGACAAGAUGGAUUUCACACCUUGGAAUCCUACAUUUAUGACCUUUUUAAGAGAUAGGAAACCUAAGACAAAAUUAAAACUAUUUUCUCUAUUUAAACAUGUUGGUUGAUUGUUCUGAUGAUAAAUGUCUGAUUUGCUUCUUUGAUUGAUUGAAAUAUUAUAGAUGGACAUCUUAGCAUGUACCACCAUAAGGUAAUGUAUUAGCUUUCGUAGGUAACACACUAAUCUACUUAGAUAAUAAAUCCCCCAAAGUAACAUGAUUCGUAAUUACUUGCCUUGUCUACAAAUCUUUCUUACCAUAUGUUUCUAACUCAUAUGGUCAAUACCAGGAAGGGUGGUGGAAUUGAUUGACCCACCAAUCGACACAAUCGGAGGAUAUUUAGACAACCACAACAACAACAAGCAGAGAUGGAUCCUCCAAAUCCUCCACCAGCCGGGGCUGAUCCAAUAGUUGCAGCCCAGAUGCGGAUAAUGCAACAGAUGACUGAUACUCUGGCGGAUAUGCACGCGCAGAUGUGGCAGGAACGCCAAGAGAUGCGCCAAGAGAGGGAGGAGAUGCGCCAGGAACGAAGGGUGCAACAACAGCAAGCACCACUGCCACCACCACCACCACCACCAGUUCCACCCCGGGACAAGCAUCGGGAGUUCAUGAGCCAUAAGCCACCGACGUUCGCCAGCUCUCCAGAUCCUCUGCACGCUGAUGAUUGGCUGAAGUGUGUAGAGAAGAUGUUGAUUAUUGCCUAAUGCUCUGACCGGGAGAAGGUUCUCUAUGCUUCUGGUCGUCUAACUGGUCCUGCUGCUGAUUGGUGGGAUUCUUAUGUUGCUGCCCAUGAUGCUGCUAAUACUAUCACAUGGGAGGAGUUUGCCACUCAGUUUAGAAAUUAUCAUAUUCCUGCUGGAAUGAUGAAGACCAAGAAAAAAGAAUUUCUAUCGCUGAAGCAGGGAAGCAUGACAAUCAGUGAGUACCGCGAUAGAUUCAUUCAGCUCUCAAGAUAUGCACUAGAUGAAGUGGUCGAAGAUGAGAGGAAGUAGGAACACUUCAUUGAAGGACUCAAUUGGCCUCUGCAGUAUGCUCUAGUGGCUCACACCUUUCCAUCAUUCCAGAGGCUGCUUGACAAGGCCCUAGCUAUUGAACACAAGCGUGUUCGGCUGGGAGAUUUGAAGAGGAAGGCGAUAUCCCAGGGUCAGGGGAGCUGCAACGUUCGUCCUCGCUACGUUCCACCCCAAGGUACACCAGUUCGCACUGGAGGAGGCCAGCGUCCAGCCCAGUACUCACCUCAGGGGACUCCACCGACUCGUCAGGCUGCCCCCACUGGCACCCCAGUGAAAUUCUCAAGACAAAGUGCUGGUACCACAUGCUACAAGUGUGGUAAGACAUGGCAUUAUGCUAAUGUUUGUCCGCAGAGGAUUGCACUACACCCGUGCAGAGCAAGCAUCAGACUCCAGGAUCUGGCAAGGGAUUCUCUAUUGCCAGGUUUAAUCAAGUCAGCGCUGAUGCUACUACUAAAGGAGCUGACAUCGCACUUGGUAUGUUUAUUAAUGCAAUUCCUACAACAAUAUUAUUUGAUUCUAGUGCUACACAUUCAUUUAUGUCUGCUCGAUAUGCCAACACAAAUGAGUUACCACUGAAAAAUAUGAAAACACCAACCAUAAUAAUUACACCUAAAGGGCAUGUUGAGGCAAACUAUAUGACACAUAGAUUGACAUUGACAAUUAUGGGAAGAGAAUUCUGGGCUACCCCUAUAAUAUUAGAGGAAAGCAGUAUAGAUCUGAUCCUUGGUAUGUCAUGGCUAAGAAAGGUAAAGGUCGUUAUACAAUGUGGUAGGGGUACUGUAGAACUCACCAACCCUAAAGGAGAAAGAUUUGAAGUUGAAACUGCAGUAACUACCACUACCAGACUUGCGGUAUUCUUAGUAGAUGGGAAGUUUGUUGGUGACAACAUCCGUGUGGUUAGGGAUUUUCCAGAUGUCUUUCUAGAGGAGUUACCCGGGAUGCCACCAGAUAGGGAAGUUGAGUUUGUUAUUGACCUCUUACCUGGGACUGCUCCUAUUUCUAAACGGCCAUACGGGAUGUCCGUAGAAGAACUAAAGGAACUUAGGAAGCAGUUAAUGGAGUUACAGGAGGUUGGGUACAUUCAUCCGAGUUCCUCACCUUGGGGAGCAUCGGUUCUGUUUGUAAAGAAGAAAGAUGGAUCGCAAAGGAUGUGUGUGGAUUGUAGAUCCCUUAAUGAUGUUACUAUGAAGAACAAGUAUCUGUUACCUCGCAUUAAGGAUUUAUUUGAUCAGAUGAGAGGUGCUAGAGUAUUCUCGAAGAUUCAUCUUCAAUCGGGUUAUCACUAAAUGAAGAUUAGGCCAUCUGAUAUUCCCAAUACGGCUUUCUCAACCCGAUAUGGUUUAUAUGAAUUCACCGUUAUGUUAUUUGGACUAAUUAAUGCACCAGCCUUUUUUAUGAAUUUGAUGAAUAAGGUGUUCAUGGAGUAUAUUGACAGAUUUGUCAUGGUAUUCAUCGACGAUAUUCUUAUUUAUUCCAAGAGUGAUAGUGAUCAUGAGGAACAUAUGAGAUUGGUGCUACAAAAGCUAUGGGAUAAUCAACUCUACGCCAAGUACAGCAAAUGCGAGUUCUGGACUGAUGAAGUGCCAUUCCUUGGACAUAUCAUUUCUAAUGGCGGGAUAUCAGUGGAUCCUGCUAAAGUCAAGGAGAUAGUGGAGUGGAGCAUACCCAGUAUAGUUACUGAAGUCCGGAGUUUCUUGGGAGUUGCAGGCUACUAUCGGAGAUUUAUUGAAGGGUUUUCUAAGAUUGCUAAGCCGAUGACCUCACUUCUAGAGAAGGGGAGAGAGUUUAAGUGGGACUCGAAGUGCCAAGAUAGCUUUGAUCAAUUAAAGAUGAGAUUGAUGUCACCCCUAGUGUUGGUUAUGCCAGAUCUACAGAAGGGGUUUGACAUUUAUUGUGAUGCAUGCGGCCAAGGCUUGGGAUGUGUGCUUAUGCAAGAAGGACACGUGAUUGCCUACGCGUCUCGUCAGUUGCGGAAACAUGAGUUGAACUAUCCCACUCAUGACUUAGAACUGACAGCCGUAGUGCAUGCACUCAAAAUAUGGAGAUAUUAUAUUAUGGGAACCAAGUGCCAAGUGUACAACGAUCACAAGAGUUUGAAGUACAUAUUCACUCAGAAGGAUCUCAACCUUAGGCAAUGUCGUUGGUUGGAGCUUAUCAAGGACUAUGAGUUGGAGAUUCACUAUCAUCCGGGCAAGGCGAAUUUAGUUGCACAUGCCUUGAGUCGGAAUGAACAUGUCCAUUCAGCUAUUGUUGCCCAGUUACCCGAUGAGAUUGUUGAGGAUUUUAGGAGACUCAACCUAGGAAUAGUUGCACAUACUGAAGGAGUCACUAUUGAUGUGGAACCUAUCUUGGAGCAAGAAAUCCGUAAAGGUCAGAUUGGUGAUGCUAAAAUUCAAGAGAUCAAGGAUCUUAUUACUGAAGGUAGAGGUCCAAAAUUCACGGAGGAUGAGCAAGGCACAAUAUGGUUCAAGGACCGGAUAUGUGUUCCUGAGAUUGACAACCUUCGUGAGACUAUAUUGAAGGAAGCCCAUGACUCUGAUUAUUCUAUCCAUCUUGGUAGCACUAAGAUGCAUCAAGACUUGAAGCAGAAGUACUAGUGGUAUGGGCUGAAGAGGGAUGUGGCUGCACAUGUGGCUAUGUGUGAUAUGUGUCAAAGAGUCAAGGUCGAACAUCAAAGACCAGCUGGACUAUUGCACCCGCUAAAGAUACCAGAAUGGAAGUGGGAAGAGAUUGGUAUGGAUUUCAUUACUGGAUUGCCUCGCACCUCGAAAGGAUAUGAUUCUAUAUGGGUGAUUGUGGAUAGACUGACCAAAGUGGCUCAUUUCAUUCCAGUCAAGACUACUUAUAAAGGCUCUCAGCUGGUAGAGGUAUAUAUGGCUCGGAUUGUGUGUUUACACGGAGUACCAAAGAAGAUCGUAUCUGAUAGAGGUUCACAGUUUACCUCCAGGUUUUGGAAAAGCUUUCAUGAGAAUAUAGAUACGAAGUUGAAUUUCAGUUCGGCCUAUCAUCCUCAGACUGAUGGUCAGACUGAAAGGACUAAUCAAGUAUUGGAAGAUAUGUUGAGAGCUUGUGCCCUUCAGCAUGGAGGAAGUUGGGACAAAAGUCUACCAUAUGCUGAGCUCUCUUAUAAUAAUAGUUACCAGGCCAGUCUGAAGAUGUCACCAUUCGAGGCUUUAUAUGGUAAGAAAUGCAGGACUCCUCUAUAUUGGGAUCAGACUGGAGAAAGACAGUUCUUUGAGCCUGAACUUAUUCAAGAGGCAGAAGAACAAGUCUGUAUAAUCCGAGAGAACUUGAGGGUAGCUCAGACCAGGCAAAAGAGCUAUGCUGAUAAUAGAAGAAGACCACUGGAGUUUGAGGAAGGUGAUCAUGUGUACCUCAAGGUGUCACCACUUCAUGGAUUGAGGAGAUUUAGAGUUAAAGGCAAAUUAUCGCCUUCAUAAUCUUUAGGCGAGUUGGGGAGAUGGCAUACCAACUCGAGCUACCUGAUAAUUUAUCUGAUGCACAUGAUGUAUUCAAUGUGUCACAACUUAAGAAGUGUCUUCGUGUCCCUGAGGAACAGUACCAAUGGAAGAGCUCAGUAUUCAGGGUGAUUUGACUUAUACAGAAUAUCCUAUCAAGAUUCUUGAUACUUUGACUCGAGUCACAAGAAAUAAGGUGAUAAAGAUGUGCAAAGUACAAUGGAGUCACCAUGGAGAAGAUGAAGCUACUUGGGAGAGAGAAGAAGAGCUUCGAAUCGAAUUUUCCCAUCUUUUCCCUAAUCCUUCCUAAAUCUCGAGACGAGAUUCUUGUUAAGGGGGGGGGGGGGGUAGGAUUUGUAAUACCCAAUUUGUAAGAAAAUAUUAAAGGAGACAUUAUUUCUUUUAUAUAUAUGUGUCAUCUCUAUUCACCAUCACAUGUGAACACCACAUUUAAAAACAAAUAAUUAAUAAAAGACAUACUACUAAAUUAUGCAUCAUGCUGAGAUUUUCAUUUUGUGUGCAUUUUGUGACAAUAUAAAAAUAAUAUAAAAAGAAAUAUAUUAAAGUCCAAAGUGGAAUUUAAGAUCUAAAAGAAAUUCUAGAAUUAAGAAAAAAGAAGAAAAAUACUAAACAAAUGAGGUAAAAUAAAAUAUAUAAAUAAGAAUAUAUUUCUUUACUCUAAAAUUUGAAUUUGGUACACUUUGAUCAUUGAGGAAUCUCAUAACAAAAUUUAAAUUCAGAUGUGAAUUCUAAAAAUAAAGAGGAAAAAGAAAUCAGAAAAAGGAAAUGAAAAAGAAAAGGAAAAAAAGUCUGUUGGGCUGGAAUAACCAUUUUUGGCCCAUUCUUCACUGGAUUCCGUGCAGCCCAGUCCCAAAGGAGCGGCGCCGACAGCAGGGUUCGCUUGGUCGGCCACACACUCACGUUCGCUCUUCCCCUCGUUCGCUGCUCCGCGGGACCCGCGCGCCAGCUCCACCGUUUGACUGCACCGCGUCCCUCCGCGUCUCUAACCAUGGCCCCCACACGUCAGAUCCCUCCCCAACAGAAUCGGUCACAUUCCUGGCAGGACCGGCACACGGCGCGGAAUCCUCGACCAUGACUGCCCUGAUCUGGUAGCCUCAUCGUGCGUAUAAAGGUUGGUUGCACCUCACGCCCGCGACCCUAUUUCACUGCCUAGACAACUAGGGAUUCGUCCUCCCAUCGUGAGAGAGCUUGUGGGAGCCGUGAGAGAUCGGACCACGCCGCCGGGGAAGCAUGGAAGGCUAAAUUCGUUGCUCCGAUCGUCGUGAGUCCCCUCUUGAGUCUACUUCUGUUCCUUCUCUUCCAUUCACGCCUAGAUUUACUCAACGACAGUUGUUUUGCCGCAGGCAAUCGCUCGUCGGAGCAGAGCCUCCGCCGCGGUGCGAUGACCCACACGGGCACGAGACCCUAAGCCUCUAAUGCCGGCGUGUGCUCAGCCAGGUGAUUCGGGGUGCUCCAAGUGUGGUGUAGCAUCAUCAGAAUUAGGUAGUCGGGUGCUCGGGCGCUGGUUAGUACUUCGCCGGUGGCGUCCGCUGCGGGUGGAUCUCGCGCCGCCGUCGUAGUGGAAGGGAUGGGGCUGAGGGGCGUGCAUUUGGCGUACCGAUUCGGGCCAGGUAGAUUAGAGCGUUGGAAUUAGAUUGGAGGGCGCAUAAUCGAUCUCGGUAUGAAGCGUUGCGGUCCUUUGAUCGCAGAUCGUAGGGCUAGUGUUGCGUACCGGUUUGGGAUGAAUCUGGAUCUAAUCCGCACCGUCCACUUGUGAUCGUGCGGCCCAGAUCCGUAGAUACCCCUUCGACCUCGACAAUUUUAUUAAAGAACUCCUAGGUUUAUUGAGAUUCAACCCACAGUCCUGUCAGUGGAACUCUGAGUCUUAAGGUUAUUUGCGUAGUGAACCCUAGCUUUUGUUUAAAUCAUGUGCGCAGACCAGAAGUUAGUAAAAAGGAAUAAAUGAUUAAGUAAAUUGAUUUUUAGUAUGAAAUUAAUUGCAGAAACUUGUAAAAUUCCUAGAAAAUUCAUAUUAAGUCCAAAUUAAUCCAUUCCAGUUUCUAUAAUUUUGUAAAAUUAUUGUUUAUCAAAUAGUGCCACUGUUUUGACAUGAAAGCCACAUUAAAAUUUAUAACCAAAUUAAUCUUGUAUCAAACACAUAAAUUUUUUGGAAAUUCAUAACUUAAAAUCUAUAACUCCAAAUUAAUGAUUCAUGUUCCUAUGAUCUUAUUUAUGUAGAUUAAUAUGUAUUUUGUUUAUAUGUUUGGUGUGAUGUUAAUUUCUCCUUUAUACUAUGCUCGUUUGUAUUGUGGCGAGUAGAAGAGCCAGUGGUUAAAAAUCCCGGUGUUCAGCAUGUAGAAGUUGCUGAGCAGGAGCUCAUUGUAGGUAAGUUGUGCCCUUAACAAUUUUUACCCAAUAAUGUUCUUUAAUAUCACUUAUUCAUGCAUAGGUUUAAUUUUGAUGGGACCCAAUAGGUCACCCUAGACUGGUUAUCCUUUUACCUUGUUUAUCCCUGAAUCAUUUGGGUAGUUAUGCUAUUGCUUUACAUAGUUUUGGGUCAAUAUUUCUUUAUAUCCAUGUUCCAAUUGUUUUGUUAUUUUAUUUAUGUUCAUGUUAAGAUCAUUAUCUUUAAUUGGAACAUGGAGCUUAACUUGAGAAACAUGUGCCACCACAAGGGUGAAAUGGGAUGCCCUUGGCUGACUAAUUAGAAAAGCUAGUGGAAGACUACCUUACCCGAAAGGGGCAAGGGUAGUAGGGGAGUAGGUGUGUAGGGAGGUUCUCGGGUUAAUUUUAAUGCGAUGGCGGUCAGACGAGGUAUUCUUGCAUUGCUCUUCCCAUAAACUGUAGCGGGUUUUCGGAAGCUAGUGGAACUUUAUAAAGGCCUCGUAGUGUUACCCUGCCUCGCUUCCUUGGUAGAGGUGUAUGGGGCCUAUACAACCCCGUGGUAGAUGGGUAACAUGACUUGUGGGUACAGGAUGCAACCUCUGCAGAGUGUAAAACUGGUAUACUAGCCGAGCUCAUGAUCAUGAGCAGCUCAGGACUCUCGCAUGAUUAAACUAUGGAACUUAAAUUCAAUUUGUCAUUUGCAUUGCAUGGGAUUAUUUAUUAAUUUUGUUCUAUUCUUAUUAUGGUUUGCUAUCUACUUACAUUUAGUAACUGCUAAUAAAAUUUGACCAACUUAUUAAAAGCAAUGCUCAGCUUUACCCCCUUUUAUUGAUCAGCCUUACACUUCACAUGAACUCCCACCUUUGGUGAGUUCAUGCACAUUAUUACCCACAACUUGUUGAGCGAUGAACAUGUGUGAGCUCACCCUUGCUGUCUCACCCCCCACAGGAGAAGAACAGGUGGUUCAAGAGGAGCCACACAAUGAGGAGUUUGACUUGAUCUAGGUGGCGUCUGCCAGUUGACUUUAUGGCGCAAGGAGGGACUUUAGUUUGUUUUAUAUUUAUCUUUUAUUUUGUAAGACUUCCGCUAUGUAAUAAGUACUCUGAUGUUAUUGUGACAUUUAUCUCUAUACACUCUGUUAUUAUGUGUUCUCUUCUUUGGCGCAUAUAUGAGAUGCACCCG
This 30058-nucleotide long non-coding RNA is filed under the name Zea mays. RNAcentral describes it as "long non-coding RNA (ZMAY_LNC000355)". Lineage: Eukaryota; Viridiplantae; Streptophyta; Magnoliopsida; Poales; Poaceae. The record is from RNAcentral.